UGUCCAGUAGCACCUUAGAGACCAACUAAAUUUGUUCUGGGUAUAAGCUUUCGUGUUUUUAUACCCAGAACAAACUUAGUUGGUCUCUAAGAUGCUACUAGACG
Molecule: non-coding RNA, 104 nt
Organism: Podarcis lilfordi (Lilford's wall lizard)
Lineage: Eukaryota; Metazoa; Chordata; Lepidosauria; Squamata; Lacertidae
Source: the annotation of a GenBank genome assembly